AGGACGAACGCUGGCGGCGUGCUUAACACAUGCAAGUCGAGCGGAAAGGCCCUUCGGGGUACUCGAGCGGCGAACGGGUGAGUAACACGUGAGCAAUCUGCCCUUAGCUUCGGGAUAGCUCCGGGAAACCGGAAUUAAUACCGAAUAUGACUUCGGCCGACAUCGGCCUUGGUGGAAAGUUUUUCGGCUAGGGAUGAACUCGCGGCCUAUCAGCUUGUUGGUGGGGUAAUGGCCUACCAAGGCGACGACGGGUAGCCGGCCUGAGAGGGCGACCGGCCACACUGGGACUGAGACACGGCCCAGACUCCUACGGGAGGCAGCAGUGGGGAAUAUUGCGCAAUGGGCGAAAGCCUGACGCAGCGACGCCGCGUGGGGGAUGAAGGCCUUCGGGUUGUAAACCCCUUUCAGCAGGGACGAAGCGAAAGUGACGGUACCUGCAGAAGAAGCGCCGGCUAACUACGUGCCAGCAGCCGC
RNAcentral lists this ribosomal RNA (474 nucleotides) under uncultured bacterium. Its description in RNAcentral is "SSU rRNA". It matches the Rfam family "Bacterial small subunit ribosomal RNA", at positions 26 to 518 of the family's 1533-position model. The record is from RNAcentral.